AAAAUAAGAAAUUAAAAGAAGAAAAUCGACGAUUAAAUGAAAAAUCGAAGAUGCUACAAUAUCAAAAGUCAUUGCACAAGACGAUAAAAAAACCACACAAUAGAAUGUUGAUGAAGUUGCCAUAUCAAUAGAAAAAAGUCAACCAGAAGCAAGUGUUGCAGAGCAAUCACAAGAAAGUAAAGAGAUAUCGACACAAGAAACACAAGAAAUCAAGCGAGAAGAGGUACAAGUGCGGGAAGAUCAAGACAAUUAUAGUAUUAUAGAAAUCGCGGUACUCGCGGCCGCGGUAAUCGUGGCCGCGGUAAUCGUGGUCGUG
Molecule: long non-coding RNA, 316 nt
Organism: Pseudomyrmex gracilis
Lineage: Eukaryota; Metazoa; Arthropoda; Insecta; Hymenoptera; Formicidae
Exons: 5
Source: RefSeq, a predicted model, not a curated record